This 405-nucleotide ribosomal RNA is filed under the name uncultured bacterium. RNAcentral describes it as "partial 16S ribosomal RNA". It matches the Rfam family "Bacterial small subunit ribosomal RNA", at positions 29 to 526 of the family's 1533-position model. The record is from RNAcentral.
AUUGAACGCUGGCGGCAGGCCUAACACAUGCAAGUCGAACGAGUGGCGGACGGGUGAGUAAUGUCUGGGAAACUGCCCGAUGGAGGGGGGUAACUACUGGAAACGGUAGCUAUACCCGAUACCAUCGGAUGUGCCCGAUUGGGAUGGGCAAGUGGGUGGGGUAAGGGCUCACCUGGGCGACGAGCCCUAGCGGGUCGGAGAGGAUGACCAGCCACACUGGAACGGAGACACGGUCAAGACUCCUACGGGAGGCAGCAGUGGGGAAUAUUGCACAAUGGGCGCAAGCCUGAUGCAGCCAUGCCGCGUGUAUGAAGAAGGCCUUCGGGUUGUAAAGUACUUUCAGCGAGGAGGCGUUACUCGCAGAAGAAGCACCGGCUAACUCCGUGCCAGCAGCCGCGGUAAUUC